GCUACGGGUGGCUGCAGUGGGGAAUAUUGCACAAUGGGGGAAACUCUGAUCCAGCAACGCCGCGUGAGUGAUGAAGUAAUUCGUUUCGUAAAGCUCUAUCCGCAGGGAAGAAAAUGACGGUGCCUGCGUAAGAAUCCCCGGCUACCUACGUGCCACCAGCCGCGGCAAUAAGUAGGGGGCAAGCGUUAUUCGGAGUGACUGCGUGUAAAGAGGGCGUAGACGGUGGGACAAGUCGGGAGUGAAAUUCCGCAGGUUAACUGCGGAACUACUUUGGACAAUGGCGAACUAGAGUGCGGGAGGGGUAAGCGGAAUUCCUAGUGUAGCGGUGGAAUGCGUAGAUAUUAGGAGGAACACCAGUGGCGAAGGCGGUUUACUGGACUGUAACUGACGUUGAGGCUCGAAAGCGUGGGGAGCAAACAGGAUUAGAUACCGUUGUAGUC
This 440-nucleotide ribosomal RNA is filed under the name uncultured bacterium. RNAcentral describes it as "partial 16S ribosomal RNA". It matches the Rfam family "Bacterial small subunit ribosomal RNA", at positions 338 to 795 of the family's 1533-position model. The record is from RNAcentral.